RNAcentral lists this ribosomal RNA (154 nucleotides) under uncultured bacterium. RNAcentral describes it as "partial 16S ribosomal RNA". It matches the Rfam family "Bacterial small subunit ribosomal RNA", at positions 355 to 507 of the family's 1533-position model. The record is from RNAcentral.
UAGGGAAUAUUGGGCAAUGGAGGCAACUCUGACCCAGCCAUGCCGCGUGCAGGAUGAAGGCGUUAUGCGUUGUAAACUGCUUUUAUAUAGGAAGAAAUAGACCUUGCGAGGUAAGUUGACGGUACUAUAUGAAUAAGCACCGGCUAACUCCGUG